Molecule: ribosomal RNA, 423 nt
Filed under: uncultured bacterium
Lineage: Bacteria
Description: bacterial SSU rRNA
Rfam family: Bacterial small subunit ribosomal RNA
Source: RNAcentral
GCACAACGCGAAGAACCUUACCAAGGCUUGACAUACACCGGGCGGCUGUGGAGACAUGGCUUCCCUUCGGGGCUGGUGUACAGGUGGUGCAUGGCUGUCGUCAGCUCGUGUCGUGAGAUGUUGGGUUAAGUCCCGCAACGAGCGCAACCCUUGUUCCAUGUUGCCAGCGGCGGCGUUGCCGGCCGGGGACUCAUGGGAGACUGCCGGGGUCAACUCGGAGGAAGGUGGGGAUGACGUCAAGUCAUCAUGCCCCUUAUGCCUUGGGCUGCAAACAUGCUACAAUGGCCGGUACAGAGGGCUGCGAAGUCGUGAGGCGGAGCGAAUCCCUAAAAGCCGGUCUCAGUUCGGAUUGGGGUCUGCAACUCGACCCCAUGAAGUCGGAGUCGCUAGUAAUCGCAGAUCAGCAACGCUGCGGUGAAUACG